GCUGUGGCUGGGAAGAUCGGGGCAAAGUCCAAACUUUACUUCCUCAAGCACCUAACUGCUCCCGAGCAGACCUUGGGCAUCUGCUCCCAUGUUUCCCAGGAUUAAAACAGGAUCCGCCCAAUUAUCGCCGUUUGCCAUAGCUUCCAGGUCAGCGGGAAGGCGUCCAUAGCAUUCGGGAACACUUGGAGAAGGAAGAGGGAGGAAUCGCUAUAGGAAGAAGCAUUCUCUGGUUUCUACAUUAAAUCCCUAGCGGCGGGUCCUUCGGUGGAGGGAGGGAGGUUCAGCUUACGGGCUGUGCUGGGAAGGCAGCGGCGCUGGAGGAGCUGCGAGGAAGGCGUUGCGCGGAUCCUGCCCUGCGCGCCUCUCUCGAAGAACGGAGUCCGGGCGAGGGGCAGAGCCGCCUUUCCCUCCGGGCGAGGAGGACUUGGUACUUCUCAAAGAUAUAGCUGUUUUUUUCUCCAUGGAAGAGUGGGCCCUGCUGGAUUGUGAGCAGAAAGCCCUACACUGAGUGGUCAUAAUGGAAAACGCAAGGAAUAUGGUUGAUUGCCUAUUUGUGUCCCUCCCUCAUGUCUCCCUCAUCGUGACCUGACAAAAGGGCGAAUGA
Long non-coding RNA from Thamnophis sirtalis, 604 nucleotides. RefSeq lists it as uncharacterized. The record is from RefSeq and is a predicted model, not a curated record. NCBI's taxonomy places the organism in Eukaryota, Metazoa, Chordata, Lepidosauria, Squamata, Natricidae.